This 253-nucleotide ribosomal RNA is filed under the name uncultured bacterium. RNAcentral's name for it is "partial 16S ribosomal RNA". It matches the Rfam family "Bacterial small subunit ribosomal RNA", at positions 524 to 776 of the family's 1533-position model. The record is from RNAcentral.
UACAGAGGGGGCAAGCGUUGUUCGGAAUCACUGGGCGUAAAGGGCGCGUAGGCGGCCUGGUAAGUAGGGGGUGAAAUCCUGCGGCUUAACCGCAGGGCUGCCUUCUAAACUGUCAGGCUCGAGCACGGUAGAGGCAGAUGGAAUUCCCGGUGUAGCGGUGGAAUGCGUAGAGAUCGGGAAGAACAUCAGUGGCGAAGGCGGUCUGCUGGGCCGUUGCUGACGCUGAGGCGCGACAGCGUGGGGAGCAAACAGG